This 402-nucleotide ribosomal RNA is filed under the name Chloroparva pannonica. Its description in RNAcentral is "partial small subunit ribosomal RNA". It matches the Rfam family "Eukaryotic small subunit ribosomal RNA", at positions 30 to 432 of the family's 1831-position model. Lineage: Eukaryota; Viridiplantae; Chlorophyta; Trebouxiophyceae; Chlorellales; Chlorellaceae. The record is from RNAcentral.
GCUUGUCUCAAAGAUUAAGCCAUGCAUGUCUAAGUAUAAACGACUUUAUACUGUGAAACUGCGAAUGGCUCAUUAUAUCAGUUAUAGUUUAUUUGAUGGUACUUUCUACUCGGAAUAACCGUAGUAAUUCUAGAGCUAAUACGUGCGUAAAUCCCGACUUCUGGAAGGGACGUAUUUAUUAGAUAAAAGGCCGACCGGGCUCUGCCCGACUCGCGGUGAAUCAUGAUAACUUCACGAAUCGCACGGCCUCGUGCCGGCGAUGUUUCAUUCAAAUUUCUGCCCUAUCAAUUGGCGAUGGUAGGAUAGAGGCCUACCAUGGUGUUAACGGGUGACGGGGGAUUAGGGUUCGAUUCCGGAGAGGCAGCCUGAGAAACGGCUACCACAUCCAAGGAAGGCAGCAGG